This 223-nucleotide ribosomal RNA is filed under the name uncultured bacterium. Its description in RNAcentral is "partial 16S ribosomal RNA". It matches the Rfam family "Bacterial small subunit ribosomal RNA", at positions 111 to 334 of the family's 1533-position model. The record is from RNAcentral.
UAACGCGUGGGUAACCUGCCUCAUACAGGGGGAUAGCAGCUGGAAACGGCUGGUAAUACCGCAUAAGCGCACAGUGCCACAUGGUACAGUGUGAAAAACUCCGGUGGUAUGAGAUGGACCCGCGUCUGAUUAGCUGGUUGGUGAGGUAACGGCCCACCAAGGCGACGAUCAGUAGCCGACCUGAGAGGGUGACCGGCCACAUUGGGACUGAGACACGGCCCAG